RNAcentral lists this long non-coding RNA (22152 nucleotides) under Erythranthe guttata (spotted monkey flower). RNAcentral's name for it is "long non-coding RNA (EGUT_LNC000205)". Lineage: Eukaryota; Viridiplantae; Streptophyta; Magnoliopsida; Lamiales; Phrymaceae. The record is from RNAcentral.
UGCGGCUAUCAUAAUUCUUGCUUUCGGCCGGGCAGUUGAUUGCCGUUUAACCGGGGAUUGCUGCAAUUUCCGGUGUUGUGUAUGAAAGUUUAAUGGUAAGUAGUAGUUAUAUAUGUGGUUUUUAACUUUCACUUAAACACCAGCAUGGGGUGUGUGUGUGUUUUUUAUGCAUGAAUAAAAAUUUGAAUUGUUUUUUUUCUUCUGAUGUUUUAAGUUUUCUUUGUAAAAUAAAAUAAACUAGAGAGACUUUGGUGCAAAUUUUACUUUAACACAAGAAGAUAUAUGUAAGCAAUUUUUUAUUUUAUUUUAAUUCAUGCUAUAAAUCGCACAAAUUCAUGUGCCGUGGAAAAUAGGAUAAAAGAGUUUUUCGUACAAUAAAAUGAACUAGGGUUAUGUAAAUGAGUUCAUAUGUAAAUGAGUUGAACCAGCUCGACAAAAACACGAAUUCCAACUUGAGUUUCUUCUUAGUUGCUCUUGAGCUCACGAACCGGUUUGCGAGCCUUUCUUUUAUCUUUUAUUUUAAUUUUUUAUAUGUUAUUUUGAAUUUAAAUGAUAUGAAAUAUUAUAAUAAUAAUAUACAAAAUACAUUUAAAAAAUUUAAAAAUUAAUUACAGUUCAUUACUUAUUUUUUUAAUUUUUUAUUAUAAUAAAAUAACUUUAGUAAUAUUAUAAAUAAAUCCAAAAAAAAUUCAAAAUUAGCUCGAGCUCGAGUCUAAAAAACAAAUACACCUGGCUCGAGCUUGCCAAAACAGGCGGACUCAAGUCGUUUACACUAAACUCAUCCCUAAUUAUGAAGGUUGAAACCAUCUAUAAGGAAUUUUAAUUAAUAAUGAUUGAGCUCAAAUUAAAGUAUUCUAGUUAACUUAAAAGUUAAUCUAAUGAGUUGGACUGUUCAAAAAUGAAAUGACUUAAAAGGGCUCCAUAAUGCUAGGCCCGUCAUAAAAUCCCCACUCUUAAAUGGGUAUUAAUUCAGAUUAAUUAUUGGAGAGUUUCAUAUCACCACCAAUAUAUUAUCACCUAAUAUAUAUUUUUAAUAAAUAUAUCUUUCUUUUUCUAGCCACACCUUCUUUUUGGUUAAAUUACACUUUUAGUCCAGUUAAUUUAUUAGUUGAAAGAUUUAGUCCACCACAUUUUAAAAUUAGAAUUUUAGUCAUAUAAGUUACAAAAUUUGAGAUUUUUUGUCCAAUGACCUACUAUAACAGGUGAUUAUAACAUGUGAUUCAAUGAUCGGUUGAACGAGUUGACAUUUAAUAUUAUAAAGAUAAAUGGAUUAAAAAUAAAAUCGAUGAUGAUGUAGCUGAUGAGUUGGACGAUUUUGGAGAAAAAAAUUCAAUCAAAGAUGCCAAAAAUUCAAUCAAAGAUGCCUUUAUAAGAUUUCUUCUAUAUGAAAGAAAUUAAACAUUUUUUUUUUCUGUUUCUCUAUAAGAUUUUCUAGCCACACAUUUAUGACGUCAUAAUUAAUGAAAAUUAGAAUCGGAUUCAGCCAAAAGUGACACAAUUCAAUUGCAUUUAAGACCCCACAGCUGCUCAAUUAUUGCACUAACUCCAAAACUUUUGAAAUACUCUAUAAUUACACACCACUCCUCCAAAAUUGUGAAGGAAAAAAAAAGCCCCAAAUCACAAAAAUCACCCCACCAACAAUGGAGAAAAUCAAAAUCAACGCACCUCUUCAGGCAGCAGCAGCAGCACUAGUAGUUCUGAUCUUCCUCCUCUGCGCGGAGGAGGCCGAAUGCCGGAGCACCGACGGCGCUCCGGCGUUCAACGCGACGAGAGUGGGCGAUUGGUUGGACGACGGCGAGGAGUUCCUGAUGGAAUCGGAAACGAGCAGAAGGAUUCUCCAGGCCGGAAAGAAGACGAUCACUUACCCGUCGGCGAACCCGAAAUUACCCUUCUGCGAUAGUGCAGUGUACGGCAGUUGUAUUGGUAAAGACAACAAAAUUUACAAGCGGCCUUGCGACUAUCAGAAUACCUGCGGCCGAAAGGGCCAAUGAAUUUGGGGCUUUUGCUGCAAUUUCCGCUGCUGUUUAUCAAAGUUUGUGCCUUUGAAAAGUAUAGUUAUGGUUUUUACUGUUAAUUUUAACACACACACCAAAGUGGGUGUGUGUGUGUGUUUUCUUAUGUGUGAAUAAAAACUUGAAUGUUUAUUUUGUUUUUCCAAUAAUUAAUUAAUUUACCAAGCGUGAAUUAACUUACUACGCUUGAUUAAGACACAUUAAUUAACAAAGUUAACGAGUACUCUUGAUUUUAGGUAAAAUAAUUCAUAAUUGACAAAAUUAAUCCGUUUGAGACUUUAAAUCUCUUUUUAUCACCUAAUUAAUCUCUUAUUUCAAUUGUAGGGUAAAAUUGAAAAAAAAUACCUUAACUUGGAAAUUUUAAAGUAACACUUUAAUAUGAAAAAUAAGAUUAUAGCUAAAACGGCACUUGAAAAGAAGAUGAGGGAGUAGUUAAUGCAUGUGAACUCCUUUUAACAACUACGGAUUAUUAUAUUAACUAAUUAUAGACUAAGAAAUAUAUUAAGGAUAAAGAAGUUGAUUAGUGAUCAAAUAUGGUUGGACCAAAAUAGAGUAGAAUUUUCCACAAAUUAUUUGUCAGUCCUUGUAUUCAAAGAUGUUGACUUGUGGUCCCUAGAAUAGAAAUUAUUGACAAGAGUUUCCACAUGUAAAUCCACUGCAAAGACUUCCAAGUCUACCUCCCCACUAUUAGAUUUUUCAUAUAUUCAGUUUCAUUACCCAAAAAAAUAAAAAAAUAAAAUAAAAGGGCAAAAAAAGAAAAAAGAAAAUUCUCUUGUGGCAAAAAAGAAAACAUUUUUUUUUCUCUCACUAACAAUGAUGUUCUCCUACGCUCUUCUUCAUCUCUUCCUCCUCCUCACCGCCGCCGCCGCCGCCGUGCCUGCGUUCAUCGCCACCGAUUUCAUACUCCUCAACUGCGGAGCCUCGUCAAGCUUGAACGACAGCAGCAGCCGGAUCUGGUCCGGCGACGCCGGCUCGAGAUACGCGCCGCCGAACGCCGACACCGUAUCCUCAGCAUCUAAAGCUUCGAGGAUGCUGCCCUCCGUUGCUCCAGUGCCGUACGAGACGGCGCGUGUCCUUCAAUCUCCCUUCACCUACAGCUUCCCCGUCCUGGAAGGCCGCAAAUUCGUCCGCCUCUACUUCUACCCCGACACCUACUCCGGCGCCGACACGAGUAAUUUCUUCUUCUCCGUCACCGCCAAUUCGUUCACUCUGUGAGCAAUNNNNNNNNNNNNNNNNNNNNNNNNNNNNNNNNNNNNNNNNNNNNNNNNNNNNNNNNNNNNNNNNNNNNNNNNNNNNNNNNNNNNNNNNNNNNNNNNNNNNNNNNNNNNNNNNNNNNNNNNNNNNNNNNNNNNNNNNNNNNNNNNNNNNNNNNNNNNNNNNNNNNNNNNNNNNNNNNNNNNNNNNNNNNNNNNNNNNNNNNNNNNNNNNNNNNNNNNNNNNNNNNNNNNNNNNNNNNNNNNNNNNNNNNNNNNNNNNNNNNNNNNNNNNNNNNNNNNNNNNNNNNNNNNNCACCGCUUUGGAGAAUCUCUACAGGUUCAACGUCGGCGGCAACUAUGUCGACAUCAAAGACGACAGUGGGCCCGCACGCGGCAUGUUUCGGGCCUGGGACAAAGACGAUGACUACAUCUUCGGCGGCGAUUUCGGUUACACCCCUCACGUUGAACGUGUGCCGAUCAAUUACACCGCCGAAACGCCGCCGUACAGUGCCCCGGAGAUAGUGUACCAGACUUCCAGAGUGAUGGCGAAUACCAGCAUAAGCCUGGAGUGGGCGUUCCCCGUCGAUUCCGGGUUUUACUAUCUGCUCAGAUUCCAUUUCUGCGAGAUCCAGCUGGAAGUGACAGGGCAGAAUCAAAGGCCUUUCACAAUCUCCAUCAACAAUCAGACGGCGGAGAUUGAGGUCGACGUCAUUCAAUUGACCGGCGGCACUCAUAUUCCCGUCUACAGAGACCUCAUAACCUUUGUCCCCGACGACGGCCGACGUGGCAGGAAAGACCUCCGCCUGUCCUUGUUCCCCUUCACAGAAGGGAACCCCAAAUACGCGAACGCUCUCCUAAACGGAUUGGAAAUUUACAAACUCAACGACUCUACCCGGAGUCUCGCGGCCGCAAACCCCCCACCGGCCGCCGCCUCUCUGCCGCCGCCGCCGCCAAACCCAACUCCGAAGAAUAAAAGUGGAGGUUCUUCUGUAAUAUUACCCGUCGUGUGUAGCGUAAUCGGCGCUCUCGCGGUGGCCGCCGCCGUCGGUUUCUUGAUUUUCCGGCGGAGCCGGAAAAUCAAGGACUCGGCUUAUUCCAAGAGCGGCCCCACGAAGUCGUCGUGGGUGCCGCUCUCCACCGCGUCUGGUUCAACCACCGGGACCGGUGGGUCCGGCAUAUCUCUACCGUCGGAUCUAUGCCGUCACUUCUCGUUGGAGGAGAUCAAAGCCGCCACGGGAAACUUCGACGAAAAUUUCGUCAUAGGCAAAGGAGGGUUCGGCAACGUGUACAAAGGGUUCAUAGACAACGCUGCCACCACCGUGGCCAUCAAGAGGCUGAACGCGUCGUCGAACCAAGGUGUCCACGAGUUCCUAACCGAAAUCGAGAUGCUUUCGAAGCUACGGCACGUCCACUUGGUCUCGUUGAUCGGCUACUGCGACGAAAGAGGUGAGAUGGUAUUGGUGUACGAUUACAUGGCGCGUGGUACCCUACGCGACCAUCUAUACAACUCCGAGAACUCACCGUUGAAGUGGAAGCAGCGCCUCCAGAUCUGCAUAGGCGCUGCCAGAGGGUUGAACUACCUCCACACCGGAGUUAAAAACUCGAUCAUCCACCGCGACGUGAAGUCCACGAACAUCCUGGUGGACGAGAAGUGGGUGGCGAAGGUGUCCGAUUUCGGGCUGUCGAAGGUGGGGCCCGCGGCGGGCGGGGCCCACACCCACGUCAGCACCGUUGUGAAGGGGAGCUUUGGGUAUGUUGACCCGGAGUACUACCGGCGGCAGCAGUUGACCGACAAGUCCGACGUGUACUCGUUCGGGGUGGUGCUUUUCGAGGUUCUCUGCGCCCGGCCGGCGAUAAUUCCGAGCUUGCCGAGGGAGCAGGUGAAUUUGGGCGAGUGGGCGAAGUUCUGUUACAAGAAGGGGACGCUCGAGCAAAUCGUUGAUUCCAAUCUUGACGGCCAGAUUGCGCCGGAGUGUUUGGGUAAAUUUGUAGAGACGGCGAUCACUUGCUUGAAGGAGAAGGGGAUCGACCGUCCGGCCAUGGGCGACGUCGUUUGGAGCCUCGAGUUCGCCAUGCAGCUGCAAGAAGCGGCGGAGCGUAGAGGCGGCGAUGGGCCGGCGGCGGAUGGCGGCGACGGCGACAUCUUCUCGAUAAACCCAUCUUUCCCGCUGCUCGUCGGCGCCGGUCAAAACACGACGGAGGAGGAAAUGUUUUCUGGGUCCAGUGAGGGUUUGUCGGCGUCGAAGAGCAGCGGCUUGUCCACUGACAGCAGCGGCAAAUUCAAGCCGGAUGAUGUUUUUUCUGAAAUCAAGAAUCCGAUUCCGCGUUAAUUAAUUAAUUAAUUAAUUAAUUUCCCACUUUUACUAUAAAUAUUAUUUUGAGAUAUAUACAUAUAUAUUAUUUUCCUCUUAUUGGCUAAUUAAUUGGUCAUCUGGCUUUGGUGGAACUAUAGUUAAUGGAACGACAGCGUUUUGUCACUUCAAGGAAAGAGAUGAGCUGGUAUUUAAUAUAAAUGAAGGAGAUGUUAUAGCCUGGGGGAGGAAAGAAACAAAGGGGAUCGAGAAUUGGAAUGAAUGAGAAGAAGAAGGAUGAGAUUGAGAUAAAUUGGGGGCUGAAGAAGAAGAGAAACCCUAGAAUUGUUAAAGGAGGAGUCUUGGCACAAUCGGGAAUUGAGGAAGAGAUUGAAGGACAAAACGAUGCCGUUUUGGUUGGACCGGAUUUCGGGGCUAAGGGCCGAGUUUAGCAGUCCACUUAUGUUAUUUGUUUUAAUUUUGGUUGGGCCAUUUGUUGUUUUAAGCCCAGUAGUUAUUUUGUCUAUUUUGUUUUAAGCUUUGCUGAUGUUAUUGUUAGUGGGCUAGGGUAGAAAAUAUUCCCUACGUUGGAAGGGGUAUUUAUACCACAUUGGGUGUGAGGAAUGUUCUUAUGAAAAGUUUCACUAAUCCUUUCCUUUCUUACUUUCUUCCUUCUCAAGUCUUUCUAUUCUCAUCUCAAUCUCUUCAAUUAAUACAGUAAACAUAAAUAUUAUAAUAAAUUACAAUAAAUAAAUAUUAUUAUAUCCUUGGAUCUUGACAAUUGGUAUCAGAGCAAGGUCUGAUCUAAUGGCGGAUGGCACCAGAUUGGAAGCACACCGGAAAUUGUUGGAGCAGAAGCUACAGGAGGAAAUGGACAAGAGAGUGGCUGUGGAAACAAACCUGCAGGAGCAGAUCAGUUUAAAUCAUGAGGAAACAAAGAAAUCAUUUGAAAUUAUGCAAAUUCAGCUGGGCAAAAUAGCUGAGAGAAUAGAGAUGUACAACAGAGACAAAUCCAUUAUGGGGGAAGGAUCUGCUUCAGGCACAAAUCCAACACCAUUUACUGCCCAACCAGAGCAUUUCACCAGACCCCCAGAAUACAGAAACAACAAAGGGCAAGAUGUGAUGGUAAACUCAAACCCUUUUUCUGGUAAUUACAACCCUAACCCUAAAAUUGAAUUCCCCAGAUUUGAUGGUAGCAGUCCUAGAACAUGGUUGUUUAAGUGUCAAGGGUAUUUUCAGUUGGUGUCAAACAUACCUGACACUCAAAAAGUAGUGUUAGCUGCUUUGCAUUUUGAGGGUAGAGCAGCCAUUUGGUAUGGGCAAAUCUCACAGAAUAAUAGGGUUUAUUCUUGGGAUCAGUUUGUUGGCUUAGUUUCUGCUAGAUUUGAGGAUCUGAGGGAAGCUAAAGUGUUGGCUGAGAUUGGCAAGUUGAGAGUUACAAACUCUUUUGAGGCUUACAUUGAUAAAUUUGAAGAGCUUAGGGCUUAUUUGUUGAUGUUCAAUACUAGAGAAUAUGAUGAUGAGUUUUUUCUGACCUUCUUUGUUAGUGGUCUGCCUGAGGAGAAUCAGAAAUUCUUUGAUUUGUUUGAACCCAAAUCAUUUCAACAUGCUAUUGAAAUGACAAGGAAACAGGAGGCUACCCUAGAAGCUGUUUCUAGGAGGGCUAAAGGUGGAAUGAAACAAAUGAUGCCAUACCAAAACCAGCAAAGAAGACUACCCUCAAACUCUGAGUCACAUCAGAACCAACCAACCAAGACACCCUAUACUCCACCAGCUCUUAUGCCACCCAGAAAACUACUUACUAGGGAAGAAAUGAAGGCUAGAAGACUGAAGGGUUUGUGCUUUAACUGUGAUGAGCAGUAUAGCCAGAAUCAUAAGUGCAAGUUUAGUCAAUUGUAUAUGAUUAUGACUGAUGAAGAUGAGGAGACUCAUUUACUCAGCCUAGCUGGGGAAGACAGUUCAGAAAGGGGGGAGGCUCACUGUGAUGGGGAGGUUUCUUUGAAUGCUAUUGAGUGGAACAGUGGUGUGAAGACCAUCAAAGUGGUUGGUGAAGUGGAAGGAGGGCCUUUGAACAUUCUCAUUGACACAAGAAGUACUCAUAGCUUCAUCAGUGAAGUCUUGGCUAUUCAACUCAGCUGCCACAUUGAUGAAACUAACCCUAUGACAGUCACCAUGGCAAAUGGGACCAAAACUACUAGCAGGAAGAUUGUCAAUGGCCUGAUUUGGAUGAUGCAAGGUGAACCAUUCACUUUCCCUCUGAGGCUGUUAACUCUCAAGGGGUUUCACAUUGUUCUGGGGUGUGAUUGGUUAUGGGAAAACAGUCCUGUGAAGUUUGAUUACAAAAGGAGAUUUGUCAAGCUCAAAAGGGGGUAUUUGCACUUGGCUCCCCUGUGAAAUGUCUAAUUGUCAAAAAACCCCCUCGGAUAAAAAAAUUAGCAAAUACCCCCCUAUGAAAGGAAGUCAAUGACAAUAAGGACCCUACGAGUGAAUCGUGGGAUACACUCGCGGUUCAUGCAGCUGGGCGUGCGUUUUAGGACAUUUUAGGACAGGAAAAGACAUAAAAGCCCUUCAAAAAAAUCAAUCAACAAAAGGACAUUUUAGGGCGUGCGUUCUAUCGUCUCUCACGAAUCGCCCGGAGUCUCCACCGCCACCACUGCCCUUCUCUCUCCACCGCAAACUCCUAUUUCGACUCACCCCAACCCUCUAGCAAUUAUAACUCCCCUCCCACUCGCCGCCGCCUGCACCACCUCUUCGAGCUCUCCGGUAAUUUUGGCUCCAAAAUUCAAUGGCACAAUCACAGCAGCUCGAUAAGAUCAAUCGGCGCCUAUCACAAACUUAUUCAGCACUCCAGCUUUUCCACCACAGCACCCGACGGAAAACGAGAAGAAUCGAAAAAGCCGAAUAUCAACAAUGGCGAUCGUUCGUGGAUUGAUGUUUAUUUGCCGGAAAAUGCGCGGCCGUACGCUCGGCUGGCGCGGCUGGACAAGCCGAUCGGCACUUGGCUUCUGGCUUGGCCAUGUAUGUGGUGAGUGUAUUUUGUUUACGCCACAUAAAAACCACAUCCUUCUUCUCCAAAUCGCCACCUAUUAAUCGGCGGCGGAGAGAUCUCCAGUGAGGUAGGCGGCGGAGAGAUCUCCAGUGAGGUAGGGUCGCCGAUGGAGUCUCCAGUGAUGUUGGGUCGCCGCUCGGAGUAUCCUGUGAUGAUUGGCCGGUGAUGGAAGGGGGAGUGCGCUGCCAUGGAGGUGACAUCCAUGGCAGACGCAACAAAGUUGAAGGGCUCUGGGGUAAGGUGUCGAGGAGAGGAAUUUGAACGAGGGGUGGGCGGCGGUGAUUCGAGACAGCGGCAGUGUAGAGGGAGAGAAAUUUGAAGGAGUGGGUGGGUGUCGGAGGGCCAGACGGCGGCGGUGCUGAACUUAUUAUAGGCCGACGGAAAUGGGGAAGAAGGAAAUGGGGAAGAAGGUGUAAACUUUGGAAAUUACAAUUUGGUCCUCUAAAUUUAGGUUAUUUAUAAUUAAAUCAGUUUGAUUUUUUUUUCUUUUUUGCUUUAUUUUUUAUUAAGGGCAAUUCUGUCAUUUCACGUAAGUCAACGAGUCAGUGCACACAAAGGGGCGGUGGGCUGACUAAAACACAACAUAGGGGGUUAUAUGCUAAUUUUUUUUUCCGAGGGGGUUUUUUGCUUCCGAGAAAUAACACAGGGGGGUCUAUGCAAUUAACUCAGCUCAAAAGGGGGGAUCAGAAAGUGGUAAUUACUGCCAAAAGAAGAUUUUGAGGAGGGUAAAUUGCUGACUGUUCAUCCUGAUAUGAGCAAAUGAGGAAUUAGCACCACUGAGGGGGUAGUCAAUUUUGCACAAUACAAACCAACAGUGGGACUGUUGUUGUGCCUGAGAAGAUUCAGAAGUUGCUGGAGCAUUAUGAAGAUUUGUUUGCUGAACCACAAGGGUUGCCACCAGUGAGGGGGGUUGAGCACCAAAUCAUUCUCAAACCUGAUGCCCUACCUAAACAAUUAUACCCCUACAGAUACUCACAUUCUGCCAAGGAUGAGAUUGAAAGGAUUGUUGAUGAACUGUUCAAAGGGGGAGUUAUUAGACAGAGCCAAAGCCCUUUUGCAUCUCCUGUCUUACUGGUAAAGAAGAAAGACAGUUCAUGGAGGAUGUGUGUGGAUUAUAGAUAUGUGAACACCAUGACAGUCAAACAUGAUUAUCCUAUACCUAUCAUUGAUGAGCUUUUAGAUGAAUUGUAUGGGGCAAAAUGGUUUUCAAAGAUAGACCUGAGGUCUGGCUACUUUCAAAUUAGAAUGAAGGAUGAAGAUGUGUACAAAACAGCCUUCAAAACCCACCAUGGUCAUUUUGAAUUUCUGGUAAUGCCAUUUGGGCUUUGCAAUGCUCCUGCCACAUUCCAAUCUCUCAUGAAUUAGGUGUUUGCAAGGUAUUUGAGGAAAUUUCUAUUAGUGUUUUUUGAUGAUAUACUGGUGUAUAGUUCUAGUUUGAAAGAACAUAUGGAACACUUAGACACCACACUGACAAUCCUGAGGGAUCAUCAGCUCUAUGCUAAACAGUCCAAGUGCCAAUUUGGGCAGACCAGCAUAGAAUAUUUGGGUCAUAUUAUCAGUGCACAAGGAGUGUCCACUGACCCUAAUAAGGUUCAGAGUAUGCUGAAUUGGCCUAUACCCACUACUGUCAAAGGACUCAGGGGUUUCUUAGGCCUGACAGGGUAUUACAGGAAGUUCAUUAAGGGGUAUGGGAGUGUGAGCAUACCUCUUACAGAUAUGUUGAAGAAAGGGAAGUUUAAAUGGACAUCUGAAUCUGAGCUAGCCUUUGCACAACUCAAAGAGGUUAUGGCCUCUUCUCCAGUACUUGCUCUACCAGACUUCACAAAGCCAUUUAUAGUAGAAACUGAUGCCAGUUCUACUGGCCUGGGAGCAGUAUUGAUGCAGGACAACAGACCCAUUGCAUUCUUGAGCAAGGCUUUAAGUGCUACACACCAAGCCCUGUCUAUUUAUGAGAGAGAAUUUAUGGCUGUCUUGCUGGCCAUUCAGAAGUGGAAACACUAUUUACAAGGCCAUCACUUCAUUCUCAGAACAGACCAGCAGAGCAUUAAGUACAUUGUAGAGCAGAAAUUCACUACUGCCCUACAACAGAGGUGGAUUGCCAAGUUGAUUGGACUGGAUUAUGAGAUUCAAUACAAGAAAGGGGUGGAGAACAAGGUAGCUGAUGCACUAUCUAGACAAGAACACACGGCAGCCAGUGUUGGUGCCAUGUCUACAGUGCAGCCAAAAUGGUUAUUGGAAGUUCUGGAGAGUUAUAAGGGGGACAAUGAAGUUAGUAAGAUUAUGGUAGCUAAAGCUAUUGAUGCAACAACCUAUGGUGACUAUGGGCUGGUACAAGGUGUAUUGAGGUUCAAAGGGAAGAUCUAUGUUGGCACACACACAGAUCUUAGAACUAAGUUAUUGGAGUUUUUCCAUAACUCAGCCAUUGGGGGGCAUUCUGGUAUGUUGGGAACUUAUCAGAGGUUGAAGGAAAAUUUUUACUGGCCUGGAAUGAAAGCAAAGGUUGUGGAAUGGGUACAAAGCUGUGAUGUUUGUCACAGAGCUAAACAUGAAAACACUCCCUACCCAGGUCUAUUGGAACCUUUAGAGGUCCCUACAGGUGCAUGGACUCAUAUCUCUAUGGACUUUAUUGAGGGUCUGCCCAAAUCUGAGGGUAAAAAUGUUAUCCUAGUGGUUAUUGACAGAUUUACCAAGUAUGCACAUUUUUUGCCAUUAUCUCAUCCUUUUUGUGCAGCUACUGUGGCUAAAUUGUUUCUAGAUAACAUUUUUAAGUUACAUGGACAGCCAGUGAGCUUGGUUUCAGACAGGGAUAAGGUUUUUACUAGCAGUUUUUGGGUGGAGUUAUUCAAACUGCUAGGUACUCAACUGACUAUGAGCUCAGCCUACCACCCUCAGAGUGAUGGACAGACAGAAAGGCUAAACCAAUGCUUGGAAAAUUAUCUCAGGUGCUGUACUAGCCAGCACCCUCACAGAUGGAUGAAGUGGAUCUCUUUGGCUGAGUACUGGUACAAUACAAACUACCAUACCAGUCUCAAGAUGUCACCUUUCCAAGCAUUGUAUGGGUAUUCACCUAAUCACCUAUCACUAAGCCCCUAUUUAGACAGUAUCAACCCUGAGGUAUCAGCUAUGGUGCAGCAAAGAAUUGAGGCAUGGGGGUUAAUUAAACAAAAUCUCAUUCAGGCUCAAGCCAGAAUGAAAUGGUAUGUAGAUAAACCCAGAAUUGAAAGAUCUUUUGAGGUAGGAGAGGAAGUUUAUCUUAAACUACAACCAUUCAGACAGAACUCUGUCAUUUCCCGAGCAAAUCAGAAAUUAGCCAACAAAUACUACGGCCCCUAUCCUAUUAUUGCUAAAAUUGGAAAGGUAGCAUACAAGCUGUUGUUACCUGAAGGGGCGAAGAUCCACAAUGUCUUCCAUGUAUCCCUGCUGAAGCGCACUGUGAAGCCUACGGCAUCUGUUACACAAGCUCCACCUGCAACCAUGGAUGACACCUUGGAGCCCACGAACGCCGACCCUACUACGGAUUCUUGGGGGCAAGAAUCGUUUCAAGGGGGGGGGGGGGGGGGGUAAUGUUAUAGCCUGGGGAGGAAAGAAACAAAGGGGAUCGAGAAUUGGAAUGAAUGAGAAGAAGAAGGAUGAGAUUGAGAUAAAUUGGGGGCUGAAGAAGAAGAGAAACCCUAGAAUUGUUAAAGGAGGAGUCUUGGCACAAUCGGGAAUUGAGGAAGAGAUUGAAGGACAAAACGAUGCCGUUUUGGUUGGACCGGAUUUCGGGGCUAAGGGCCGAGUUUAGCAGUCCACUUAUGUUAUUUGUUUUAAUUUUGGUUGGGCCAUUUGUUGUUUUAAGCCCAGUAGUUAUUUUGUCUAUUUUGUUUUAAGCCUUGCUGAUGUUAUUGUUAGUGGGCUAGGGUAGAAAAUAUUCCCUACGUUGGAAGGGGUAUUUAUACCACAUUGGGUGUGAGGAAUGUUCUUAUGAAAAGUUUCACUAAUCCUUUCCUUUCUUACUUUCUUCCUUCUCAAGUCUUUCUAUUCUCAUCUCAAUCUCUUCAAUUAAUACAGUAAACAUAAAUAUUAUAAUAAAUUACAAUAAAUAAAUAUUAUUAUAUCCUUGGAUCUUGACAGGAGAUUGGCCGAUUAUAAAAGUAGCAUCUUUUCAUACUUGAAAUUAAAGUAAUCCAUUUCUGUACACACACACACACACACAUAAUAAUUGAAACAAAUCUUACACUUUACACAUUUCUUUCCAAACAGUCUCAAAAUAUAAUAGGUUUGUUGGAGGCAGAGAGUUACAUAAAACUUCAUUUUUUUCUCUGUCAAAAAAUUACCAAAGAAUCAAAAUCAGCACACAUUACAUGAAAACUCAGAUGAAGUUUCUCAUUGCAGCUAUCUCCCUCUCUUUCCUCUUUUCAUCCAUAGGUAUAUAUUUAUAAAUUAUAAUCAAUUCUACAACUCUUCGAUUUUUUUAUUUUUUUUCUUAUCAAAUUCUUUUCGUUUUUUUCGCAGUGGCCUACGACUCGUUAGAUCCAAACGGUAACAUAACAAUCAAAUGGGACAUAAUGACCUGGACACCAGAUGGCUAUGUGGUACGGUCAGCACACAAAAUUAAACCUUACUUAUAUCAUUAUUAUUAUUAUUAUAAUUAUUGUUAAUUACCACUAAUUAAAUUAUAGUAAUUUGUUACAUGGUGUUUUUGAUUAAUGUGUAUAAAUAUAUGUAUACAGGCAAUUGUAACGGUGAACAACUUCCAAAUGUACCGGCAUAUAAUGAGCCCCGGGUGGACCGUCGGCUGGACGUGGGCUAAGAAAGAGGUCAUCUGGUCCAUGGUUGGUGCACAGACAACGGAGCAAGGCGACUGCUCCAAAUUCAAAGGGAAUAUUCCACAUUGCUGUAAUAAGAAGCCGACAGUAGUCGAUUUACUCCCCGGGGUUCCGUACAACCAGCAGUUCGCCAACUGCUGCAAAGGCGGAGUUCUGGCGGCCUGGGGCCAGGACCCCCAAGCCUCCGUUUCCGCCUUCCAGGUCAGCGUUGGCCAGGCGGGGACCACUAACAAAACCGUUAGACUCCCGAGUAAUUUCACCCUUUUGGGGCCCGGCCCGGGUUACACUUGCGGGCCCGCGAAGACUGUUCCGCCAACUAACUUUCUGUCUCCGGAUCUGAGAAGGAAAACUCAGGCACUAAGUAAGUUUUUUUUUUUGAGAUAUUAAAUGAUUCACCUCACGGACAGCUUAAUAAUAAUUGUUUUUUUUUUGAUAUAAAUUGAAUAGUGACGUGGAAUGUGACGUGUACGUACUCUCAAUUUCUAGCACGGAAGCACCCGAGCUGCUGCGUUUCGUUCUCGUCUUUCUACAACGAAACGAUCACGCCUUGCCCUUCGUGCGCUUGCGGCUGCGAAAACAAAAACAAAUGUGUCAAGUAAAUUACUUAUAUAUAUAUAUACCCCCCUCCAUGCAUAAAUUGUCAUUAUUUUUCUUUUUUUUCUUAAUCAUGGUUUCUUGAAAAAUUUAUAACAGGGGUGAUUCCAAGCUCUUGAGUGUGGUGGGGGUGAAUACCCCCCGAAAAGACAACGCGCCGCUGGUGCAGUGCACCCACCACAUGUGCCCCGUUCGGGUCCAUUGGCACGUAAAAACUAACUACAAGGAAUAUUGGCGGGUAAAAAUUGCCGUAACAAAUUUCAACUACAGAAUGAACUACACGCAAUGGACGCUCGUCGUUCAGCACCCGAAUCUUAAUAACGUCACGCACGUUUUCAGCUUCGACUACAAGCCCCUUCUUCCCUAUGGCUCCAUCAGUAAUUUCCUUUUUCGCAUUUUCAAACAAACAAAAAAAAACCAUAGUAUAUGUUUUAUUUAUUUAUGAUGGUUGAAAAUCGAAUUGCAGAUGAUACGGGGAUGUUUUAUGGGAUGAAAUUCUAUAAUGACAUGUUAAUGGAAGCCGGUGAAUUUGGGAAUGUACAAUCAGAAGUACUUAUGCAGAAGGAUACGAACACGUUUAGUCUUAAAGAAGGAUGGGCGUUUCCUCGUAAAGUUUAUUUCAACGGCGAAGAGUGUACGCUUCCCCCACCCGAUUCGUACCCAUUUCUGCCGAAUUCGACUCCUUCGAGUCGGACUUUUAACUCGAUUUUCAUAUUUUUUAUGGUAAUUUUUUCUAUGGUUGUAAUGUCUUGAUCAAUGAGUUGUCAAGUUUCAUCUAGUGUGGAAAUUUUUGAAAUGUGGAGUGAUAUUUAAGUGAAAAUGAGAUAUAUAAAUAUAUAUAUAUUAUUUCCUCUUAUUGGCUGAUUAAUUGGUCAUCUGGCUUUGGUGGAACUAUAGUUAAUGGAACGACAGCGUUUUGUCACUUCAAGGAAAGAGAUGGGCUGGUAUUUAAUAUAAAUGAAGGAGAUUGGCCGAUUAUAAAAGUAGCAGUUGGGCCAAGUGGAUUUAAUUGGCUUAAUGGGUUAUCAAUCAGCAAACAAUUAUUAAAUAAAAAUAUAUUUUAUUAUAUAUAUAUAUAUAUAUAUAUAUAUAUAUAUAUAUAUAUAUAUAUAUAUAUCCGAUAAUAAAAAAUGAAAUUGCAGAAAAAUGUUGGUUGAUUGAAUUUUAAUUGAAGGAAAUAAGGCAAAAAGUGUUUUCCGUCCAAAUCAAACCAUUGACCAUUAAAAUAAAUAAAUCACGGACAAUCAAUUAUUAGCCUAGAAUCAAUUUACCAUGGUUUUUGGUAUUAAUUAGUGAACAAUUCCAAAAACUAUGUACUAUGAUCGUGGAGAAUUCAUAUUCAAAUUAUAGAGUAGGUAAUGCUAUUAUGAGCUAUAAAUUGAGAGGCAUUUCUAAAUGAUUUUCGUCAAGUGUAGUUUGAACGAGGAUCAAUUGUAAUGUGAAUAAGGAGCGAGAAUAUUAUCAUGGAGGCCAAAACUCUGUUUAUGUGUGUUUUCUUCUUGAUUUCUAUUUUUGCUGCUCGUAAGUUGUUUUUUCCUAUCAAAUCUCGCUCUUGUACACGGUGAAUUACAUAAGAGUUUUAUACCUUAAACUUGCAUGCACUCACUCAUACAUAUGCUAAUGCACAUAUAUAUAUAUAUAUAUAUAUAUAUAUAUAUAUAUAUAUAUGUAUCUUUUCUUUUCUUUUUUGGAAAUGCACUUACAUUUUACACCUAGUGAAAUAUACUGUACCUUAAACUCGUACACAAUCGCACACACGUACUUAUUAGUAAGUAAUUAUCAAUACACAUAUAUCGUGAAAUCUUAUUUAAUGAAGGCCACUAAGCAAUCAUCUUACUUAACUUUUUUUUUGCCUUCUAAUUUUGGUAUAUUGCAGAGGAGAGCAUGGGUAAUCAAUGUUUUGAUCCACAAAAAAGACAAUGUAGAGUCGGCGGCGAUGAUUGCUUGAAACGGUGUUCCGCGUUAGGCUACAGACGUGGCCUUUGUUUUAGAACAUCAUCUACUUCAACGCUAUGUAUGUGUGAAUGCGAUUAGUCUAAAUUAUUAUUCUAAUUGAUCGAUCUCAGCAUAUCGUAAUUUAUCUACACGAUUGUGUUGAGUUUUGAAUAAAAAUGGAAUAAAUAUCUUCGUGAUUGUGAAUUGACAAUAUACCAUUUUUUUGCACAUUGCUUUAACUUUUAAUUUAGUAGAGCCAUGUUAUAAGAUUUAUGCAAGUUAACAUAAAUAAAUAAUUGGAGUAAUAUCUACAUACUUUUAAGUUUUAGGUUUUUUGAUUUUAUAGUAUAUAUUAUAGUCAAUUUUUUAGAGCUGUGGUUUGUGACAGCAAAAUGGAAGAAUAGGUUAAUAUAUGACAUCAGCCCUACCAAUGGUAGCAGCCAAAGAAAAUGGAGCUGAAAAUAGUGCACAACAAAAAUGGAGAAAUGGGUUCUCUAUCACAUAAACAAACUAAAUCCAUUAACAUUUUUCGAUUGUUCGAAACUAAAGAAUGAAUAUAUCGAUCCACCGAAAAAGAAUUAUGGCAACAAUAUUUAUCGUAAAUAGGCAGAGUUAUUCAACUGCCAAUUACGCUGAUUUUUUUCCGAACCCGUAAACAAACGGUCGGUUUUCCUGUUAUCGUGUUCGCAUGCAAAGCGAACAGUUUCUAGCAGUACUGUAUUAUUUCUGUAAUGGAUUGCUCUAAGAUAAAUCUCGUCACCUACCAAAAUAUACAAUCUCAAUUCGCCAUUGUUGCCAAGUUUAUUCCUCUGUUUGACAUAGGCGCUCUGCAUAUUCGGUAGGGGAAAAAAAUUAGUACCAUGAACUAAAACUAGGAACAAAAUUCAGCCUGCCAAAGUACAUGAAAACAGUCGAAGAAAAAUCUUCAAUGUUCAAAUUAAAGAGCGCCACAAAUUAUAGUAACAUGUAAAGCUAAUCAAUCAAGCACUGAAUAUUAGAUAUUAGAGAUCAAGAAUAGUAAAGAUUAGUGACAGAAAAAAAGAUCGAGUGAAAAAUAAAAAAGAACUGACUUAGAUAUUCGUAAGCAAGAAUCAUAGAAGUUCCCCAUGCAGAUGUGCUGACGAAACGAGGGCCAAGGCCUCUAUAAAGUCCAGUCCAUCCUUCAUCAGCGAUAAGUUUCGUAACCACUUGCCUUGCACUGGGUCGUUUUCCAUGCCCCAUCACCUAAAAAGUACAUAAACCAUUGAUUAAACAAUUGGACUAGGCUCCCGAUUCAGGCUGUUGCUCGUUUUUUUUUCACGUUAUUUCAUGAAAAUAAGUUACCGAUGUUUAAAUAAUUGCAAAGUCAAAUAUUAAGUAGCUAAAUACCUGCAGACGAGUUUUUACGGUAUCCAAUGGGGUUGUGAUGCAUGAUGCUGUAGCACCGGCAAUAAUCCCUCCAGCCGCUUGAACCAGCACAACAUUCCCUUUGUCUGAAGCUGUCCCAUCUCGAUCUAGGAGUCUGUUACAUAUUCAGACAUGAAAAAUAGACAUGGGAACAUGAAAUUUAUCACCUAGCUUGGUCUCAAAUCUCACAUAUAUCACUCAAUCAUAAGUUUAGAUCCUCCAAAAUAUAACUUGAAAGAUGAAAUACUUGAGCUAACUGUUUGCUGCAAACUAUUCGUUGUGAAGAAACACCAGAGAGCAUAAGGCUUAUGGCGGCAUUCAGUAUGGAACUAAAAAGGGUAUCGAUUAUCGAACAAGAUAAAAAUCACACUAAUUGACACCAAACAAAUCUAAUUGACAGAAACUUGAGAAUAAUACAAAAAACUGCCAAAUUGAAAACAACGUUCAAAAGCAUACCUCCAAAUUACGCGUUGACUGGAACCAUAACUCGCCCACCAAACAGCACUCGAAGGUGAAUAUGUCAUAACUGACAGCCCAAAUCCCCUAUACAAUCCUCGAAUACCGUCAGACUUAAUGAUAUUACGAACCACAUCUCUUCCUCCACUAUAAGCCGCAUGCCCAGAAUACCCUUGCACCAUCAACCUUUGACUAACCUUUUUAAAACACACGUUAAAUUAAUUUUAGCCUUUCUGAUAUAUUUCUUAAAGUUCAUCAAGAAAAUAUAAGCCAAAUAAAUAAAUAAAUAAAUCAUCCGACAAGGCACUUCAAUUACCGUGCUAAGAAAGGAACAAUCUAGAAGCUUUUGUUUUACUUUCCAAUAUACGAUUUUUUGGUCAAACCAUUUCAGAAUUAUCGGAACAUUGUAGAGGGCACAACAAAAAAAAAACAAAAAAAUAAAUAAAUUAAAUGAGAUACGAGAAUCGUACCACAUCAAUGGGAACAAAUACAGCUUGUGAGCAAAGAGACCCCAGCAUGCCAGCAACUCCGUUUGCUAUAGCUGCCUGUGAAGGCUCCGAUAAUUUCAAAGGUUCCAACAUCUUGAAAGCAGCAAUUUUCGUUGUCUCUAAUGCAGUGAGGAAUAUAAUUCUUGCAGGUACUGCUCCGAUAAUUACGGUUCCAAAACCUUUAUAUAAUCCAGAAAUCCCAUCUGCUUUUAACAAGCCCUUUACAACAGAAAACGCGUUUCUCUCUACAACAUCGUGUGAAGCUACUUGCAGCCUUGUCUUCACUACUGAAAUUGGAUAGAGCGCCACUGUAAUUCCGGUGAAUAUUCCAGCUCCGACUGAGUAGAACUUCAUUUUAUCAAGCCUGAAGGAGUGUAGAAUAACAUAAGUAUCUACAAAGAUUCUAAUUACCACACAAUAGAACACUCAAAUCUUGUCAAAACAAACUUGUCCACUCGUCAGUAACCGAAAAACAAGAAACUUAUGCCCAUUGAGACCGAAAAGCGAAAAAAAGAAAAAGAAAUUCAGUUCAAAUCAGUCUAUACUAAAUAAAGGGUUCAGUUCGCGGCAAUAUCGUCCAGGGAUGUAGGAUCAUAAUCGAAUCUAAAAACAAUCAAAUGGAAUGUAAAAUGAAAGGUAUCGGAGUUUUUCAGUGUUUUCCCCAAAAGUCGAAUUUGCAAUUCAUCCGAAUAGAUUUCUGAAUAUAGAAAUGGAAGUAUCUAAUGCCACUUAAUUCCAGUGAUUUAUUUCAAACUGCUCGUGCAUAUUUGAUUUUAUCGCAAUAUUAACUUGUAGCCACGGCCACUAAACAUCUGGUUUAAAGGGUUGCGAAUAAGUAAUACCCCCUCUCACCUACAGUUAGAAAUUAAACAGAAUCACGAAUAAGCGAAUUCCUCCGAUUUUUUUCGUGAAAAUGUUUCAGAACUUCCUGCUAAUUUUUUUCCGAACCAAUGCUAAAUGAACCCCCAUCACUACAAUUGUGUUACAAACGAUUCUAAAACACCAAUCCAACAUGAUUAAUCCACCAAAUGCAUAAAACGAGAAGCUAAUCAUUGUGAUUCCUAACACUAAUUAUAUGGUAAUCUAGUUUAAUUUAAUCAACCUAAUCGCCCCAAACACACACGCACACCCAAACAACGAGGGAAAAAAAAUGCAGAAAUCACAACCAAAAAUAAAAUUAAAAAAUCAGAUACGCAGUUAAUGUAACUAUAACACAAUGGAACACCACGCUAAUAAAUUUAAAAAGAGAGAGAGAGAGAGAGAGAGAGAGAGAGAGAGAGAGAGAGAUCGCCGGCGCUUACUUGUCCCAAUUAAUCUCGGUUGGACCAACUGAAAUUCUGCGCCUUCCGUCUGUUGUAUCCAUCGGAAAAAAUCGUUGGCCGUCGCAAACUGGAUAAUGUCGAGCGAGCUGGGUUGAAGAAAGGUUUCCGAAAAUGGCAAACAGCGUCGUGUUCAAAUGAGAGCAGAGCUUUCUUGUGCAGAAAUAAAAACAAAUUAUUAUUAAAAUAUAAAUAAAACCAAUUGCAGUUUUAUUGUUUAUAUUAUUUAUUUAAAAAAAAAAAAAAGUAAAAGUCGGUGAAAGAAACAGUCUGGAUGACGGCGGCGAUCCAGUGCGGCGCGGCUAUGACUGCAUCUGGCUGUUCCCCCGUUGGAUCUUAUUAUUAACAUAAUUUCAUAUAACCAGAUUAAAUUAUCUUUAGGCCCAAAUAGAUGUGAAGAUUUGCAUUCCAGCCCACAGGAACUUUUGGUCAUCUAUUAUUGUUAUUAUUUUUAUUUUUAUGUAUAUGGGCCGAAUAAAUAAGACCCAUGGGCUCAGUUGGGCCUUGUGUAGAAUUUGGCGGGAAUAAGAUCUACGUGUCACUCAAUUGAAUUCAAUUAAUAAGAGUCAAAUAAAAACAAUACAUGUUAAUUCGAAUUGAAUUACCAACCAAAAAAAAAAAAAAACAGGAAAUAAUAAUUAAAGACCGAUUAAAACCACCAGCACAUUAAAUGUAAAAAAAGAUUCUCUCCACCUAAAAUAAAUACUAUGCAAAUAAAUAAAUGCAAGUAAUCCAGUGGUAACUUUAACCGUUGCCCUCCUUUAAUUUAUUAUUAUUAUUAUUAUUAUUAUUAUUAUUAUUAUUAUUAUUAUUAUUAUUAUUAUUAUUAUUAUUAUUAUUAUUAUUAUUAUUAUUAUUAUUAUUAUUAAAAUUGCAUAACUUAUAGAAAAUGUGUAGUUAUCUCUGAUUACAUUACUCAUCUUCAGUGUAGACUGUCCAGUUACACUGCCACUGAUUAUUUACAGUAAGCUCCCUUCUUAACAACAAGCUUUGCCGGCUAGCUUUUUAUUCUCUCUCUCUCUCUCUCUCUCUCUCUCUCUCUCUCUCUCUCUCUCUACACCCUAUAUUUCUCUCUCUCUCUCUCUACACCCUAUAUUUCUCUCUCUCUUAAGAUCAACAAAAUCUGAUUAUUGGAGAAAUGGGACUCUGCUUCAGAUCAAUGCUGCUGCUGUUUUUCUUGUUUUCUUGCGCCACCUUUACUUCAAUAGGUAAACCCUUGCUCCUCUUUUUUUUUUUUUUUUUUUUUUUCUGUUUCCUAUUUAAAUUUUGGCAUUACGCAAUUGUUUGUGUAUUUGGUCGAAUGGGUUCUGAAAAUUUAUGAAGAAUUGAUGCAAUUGUUUGCCUAAUUGAAUGGGUCCGAUUCGAUCGUGAAAAAGUUCGGAUCUUUAUGAAUAGUUGCAUGCUUGGUAAACCCGAAAUUCUUGAUUUUAUUUAUGUUUUGUUGAGAUGAAUGGGGUGUUUUUAAUUUGAUUUCUGCCCUGUUUCGAACAGACAUAUUUUUUUAUUGGGUAGAAAUAGUUCAUCAACUUAGUAAUUAUCACCACCAAAUUUCCUAAAUUGUCCCUCUUCCAAGAGUCUACACUCUAGAGCAUAAAUAAAUUGAGCAACACCACAAGAUUUUUGAUGAUUUAUCUUAAUCCAUUCUUGUUUUUAUCUUCACCAUUUUUUUUUUCAGAAGCCUACGACGCGCUCGAUCCCAACGGAAAUAUCACGAUAAAUUGGGAUAUUAUAACUUGGACAGGCAACGGCUACACCGUAAGUUUUAUUACAAAUUUGUUUACGUUCUUGCAUACGUAGUAGUGGCGACAAGGCACGUAUAAUACACCUUAUAAUGAUAUAAUUAAAGCAUGCAUUUUUGUAGAUAAAUUAACUUACUUUCGAAUAAAAAUAUCCAACAGGCAGUUGUCACAAUAUCCAAUUUCCAAAAAUAUCGCCACAUUCAAGCGCCAGGGUGGACACUCGGGUGGACAUGGGCGAAAUCGGAGGUGAUUUUGACCAUGGCUGGCGGUCAAACAACCGAGCAAGGAGAUUGUUCGAGAUUCCAAGGCUCUAACAUCCCGCAUUGUUGUAAGAAAGAUCCAACGGUUGUGGAUUUAUUACCCGGAACCCCUUACAACCAACAGAUUGCUAAUUGCUGCAGAGGAGGAGUCAUUGACUCCUUUGCCCAAGAUCCUCCGGCUCAUUCCGCCAGCUCAUUCCAGCUCACAGUCGGCGAAGCGGGGACCACUAAUACAACGGUUGACCUUCCGAAGAAUUUCACUCUCAAGGCACCGGGCCCUGGUUAUACUUGCGGGCCCGCGGAAAUAGCCAUGCCCACUAAAUUCAUCUCUCAAGAUGGACGAAGGGCUACGCAAGCUAUGAGUAAGCACAUUUUGCAUUUGCGUAUAGUGAAUUAUUUUUUAUUUUUAUUUUUCUCAAAUUUGUUUAUUUUAUUUUUGCAGUGACGUGGAAAGUUAAGUGUACGUAUUCGCAGUUUCUGGCUCAGAAAAUUCCGAGCUGUUGCGUUUCUAUGUCGGCGUUUUACAGUCACGAGAUUGUGCCUUGCCCGAAAUGCGCUUGUGGAUGCAUGAAUAACCUUACUCAGCCAGGAAGCUGCGUCGAGUGAGUUUUUCUUCUUC